This 253-nucleotide ribosomal RNA is filed under the name uncultured bacterium. Its description in RNAcentral is "partial 16S ribosomal RNA". It matches the Rfam family "Bacterial small subunit ribosomal RNA", at positions 524 to 776 of the family's 1533-position model. The record is from RNAcentral.
AACGUAGGACGCAAGCGUUAUCCGGAGUUACUGGGCGUAAAGCGCGGGCAGGCGGCUCUGCCAGUCUGAUGUGAAAUCUCUCCGCUCAACGGAGAGCAGCCAUUGGAAACUACAGAGCUGGAGUCUAGCAGAGGUAGGCGGAAUUCCGGGUGGAGUGGUGAAAUGCGUAGAGAUCCGGAGGAACACCAGAGGCGAAGGCGGCCUACUGGGCUAGCACUGACGCUGAGCCGCGAAAGCCAGGGGAGCGAACGGG